AUUGAACGCUGGCGGCAUGCUUUACACAUGCAAGUCGAACGGUAACAGGCCUUCGGGUGCUGACGAGUGGCGAACGGGUGAGUAAUGCAUCGGAACGUGCCUAGAGGUGGGGGAUAACGCAGCGAAAGCUGUGCUAAUACCGCAUGUGAUCUGAGGAUGAAAGCGGGGGACCAGGCAGCAAUGUUUGGCCUCGCGCCUUUGGAGCGGCCGAUGUCAGAUUAGGUAGUUGGUGGGGUAAAGGCCUACCAAGCCGACGAUCUGUAGCUGGUCUGAGAGGACGACCAGCCACACUGGGACUGAGACACGGCCCAGACGCCUACGGGAGGCAGCAGUGGGGAAUGGUGGGCAAUGGGCGCAAGCCUGAUACAGCAAUGCCGCGUGCGGGAAGAAGGCGUUCGGGUUGUAAACCGGUUUUGUACGGAACGAAAAGGCUCUGGCUAAUACCUGGGGCUGAUGACGGUACCGUAAGAAGAAGCACCGGCUAACUACGUG
Molecule: ribosomal RNA, 492 nt
Filed under: uncultured bacterium
Lineage: Bacteria
Description: partial 16S ribosomal RNA
Rfam family: Bacterial small subunit ribosomal RNA
Source: RNAcentral